RNAcentral lists this unclassified non-coding RNA (307 nucleotides) under plant metagenome. RNAcentral describes it as "partial contains 5.8S ribosomal RNA, internal transcribed spacer 2, and large subunit ribosomal RNA". The stretch from base 1 to 105 matches the Rfam family "5.8S ribosomal RNA", at positions 50 to 154 of the family's 154-position model. The record is from RNAcentral.
GAAAUGCGAUAAGUAAUGUGAAUUGCAGAAUUCAGUGAAUCAUCGAAUCUUUGAACGCACAUUGCGCCCGCCAGCACUCUGGCGGGCAUGCCUGUUCGAGCGUCAUUUCAACCCUCAGAACCCCUUGCGGGAUCUGGCGUUGGGGAUUGGCAUCCAGCCAGCCCCGAAAUCUAGCGGCGGUCCCUCCGCGACCUCCCCUGUGCAGUAGCGAUACCUCGCAGCGGGACAGCGGUCUGACCACGCCGUAAAACCCCCAACUUCUCAAGGUUGACCUCGAAUCAGGUAGGAAUACACGCUGAACUUAAGC